This 638-nucleotide small RNA is filed under the name Histoplasma capsulatum. RNAcentral's name for it is "hypothetical RNA". The record is from RNAcentral. RNAcentral also lists the same sequence under 1 other name. Lineage: Eukaryota; Fungi; Ascomycota; Eurotiomycetes; Onygenales; Ajellomycetaceae.
CUGCAGCACAACCAACUGUGGAGACCAGGCUCUUGGCCCUCUCGUGUUCUGUUCUAUUUAUUUCUUUUUAUGACGCUUAGAGGCUUCAGAGAAGAUAGCUGGAGGGUUCAUCUUGUUGGAAAAUUCGCAUGGAACUAAGCAAGCUUGGACGGCGUUUCAAAGGUUAAUUUGUUGGGUAGAGACGAGAUGGAGAUGAACCAUGAAGUUUUGAGCCUUUGUUCAUGGGGUCGUUAGGACAGAAAUCGGACAUCCUCGGCCCAGAUCGAGAAAUCUCAUUUCAGUUUUGAUAGGAGAUCAUUGAUGCAUCUUCCAUCUUGGCAAGCAUGUCCUACGAAAAUUUUCUUCAUUGUAAUUGUGUGAGAGUAUGUCUAGACUCCUGAUUUGUGAGGAUUGUUGAAAUAUCAUUUUCUCGAAGUGUGGCAGGAUGAAAGUUACGUGAAGAUCUCCACAAAGUGCACUUGGAUGUUUCGUUUUGCCGAGGUCCAUCUCGUAGAUCGAAUACCUGUCGUCCAGGAUUGACCGCUGUGAUGUUAGCACUAGUAUUGUUAUUAUUUUAGAGGGUGGUAUGCCGAUAUUCGUUCUGCUGAGCCUGGGUCCGUAUCAAAAUUCACCAAAGAAAUGUGCAGCGGUAUGGUGAC